RNAcentral lists this transfer RNA (66 nucleotides) under Oreochromis niloticus (Nile tilapia). It matches the Rfam family "tRNA". From Rfam's summary of the family: Transfer RNA (tRNA) molecules are approximately 80 nucleotides in length. Their secondary structure includes four short double-helical elements and three loops (D, anti-codon, and T loops). Further hydrogen bonds mediate the characteristic L-shaped molecular structure. tRNAs have two regions of fundamental functional importance: the anti-codon, which is responsible for specific mRNA codon recognition, and the 3' end, to which the tRNAs corresponding amino acid is attached (by aminoacyl-tRNA synthetases). tRNAs cope with the degeneracy of the genetic code in two manners: having more than one tRNA (with a specific anti-codon) for a particular amino acid; and 'wobble' base-pairing, i.e. permitting non-standard base-pairing at the 3rd anti-codon position. The record is from Rfam by way of RNAcentral. RNAcentral also lists the same sequence under 1 other name. Lineage: Eukaryota; Metazoa; Chordata; Actinopteri; Cichliformes; Cichlidae.
UCUAUAGUGUGGUAGUUUACACAUUCGCUUUGCAAUUGAAAGGCUGCUGGUUUGACUCCAGCUGGA